GUCCUCAGCUAUCAAGUGGGAUGAUACUGGAGCAAGCCUCAUGGGAUUGCUGAGAAGAUGAAAUGAGUCCUCACUCAUCAGAAGGCUCUAAAGCAGUGCACAGCUCGGAAAAAGCACACUAUGGAGGUUGCUGGCACAGAAAAGAAUUUUAUGACUGAAAUAUCGAAAGUGGAGAUGCUGAAGAAUUCUUUGGCUUUAAAAAAUGAAUUGGAGUACAAAAUGAGGCCCUGUCUGACAACUGGACUUCAUGUGACAAUCAGAACAUUCCAGCACAGAUAUGUACCUCUUAAGAUUCAAAAUGCUUAAAGUGCCUAGAACCACGCCAGCACAAAGAGGCCCAAUGAGUUAAAGUUGAAUGAAUGAAUGGAUCAAUCAGUUAACCAGCCAACCAGCCAAAACUAAGACUGAAAACAGAUGGGUUUUUGCUUCUGUAUUCAGGUAAUUGUUUAAAUUUUGUUUUCUGACAUCCCCAUGGAAAAAGUAGAUGUUUAUUCUGAGCACUGUUCUCCACGGUGACUAGGUAACAUUGAUAUUUGUGCUUCAUGUGGCUACAACCCAAUGCUGUGCAUUUCUAAAUAAUGUAUCUUUUUAAUAUAUUGAUGUGCUUCUGCUAACUAAAUGCUAUAGCAUUGUCAUUGAGUAUUAACAAGCAAUGAUAUGUCAAUCCAGGAUGAACCGUGGCAGGUGAAUAUUUCUAGCAAUCCUGUACUUUUUAGUCCGCCAGUGCUGUUCACGGGUAACCAAGGUCAAGACCUACUGGUUUAGUAGAGGACAGAUGCACAAGGAGCAAAAGCACAAAGCAAUGGGACACUGGCCAUGACAACCGGCAGGUGUGAGCUGGAAAAUGAUGCCAUUGCUCUUCAGUGCAUAACUACAAUACAGAGAGAAAGACUUGCAGGCUAAAUCAGCUGGUGGCACAAGAGAUAAUAUGUUGCAUCUAUUUAUCACUACUCUCCAAAAAGCAGACAAAAAUAGCAAAUAUCAUUCAUUUAAUGAUUGUUUUCCCUGUGUGGUAAAUGAAUGGUCUUAUUUUUCUACAUAAACCAGGAAUUGAA
Molecule: long non-coding RNA, 1055 nt
Organism: Chinchilla lanigera (long-tailed chinchilla)
Lineage: Eukaryota; Metazoa; Chordata; Mammalia; Rodentia; Chinchillidae
Exons: 3
Source: RefSeq, a predicted model, not a curated record